Molecule: ribosomal RNA, 445 nt
Filed under: uncultured bacterium
Lineage: Bacteria
Description: partial 16S ribosomal RNA
Rfam family: Bacterial small subunit ribosomal RNA
Source: RNAcentral
CCAGACUCCUACGGGAGGCAGCAGUAAGGGAUAUUGGUCAAUGGGGGAAACCCUGAACCAGCAACGCCGCGUGAGGGAAGACGGUUUUCGGAUUGUAAACCUCUGUCCUCUGUGAAGAUGAUGACGGUAGCAGAGGAGGAAGCUCCGGCUAACUACGUGCCAGCAGCCGCGGUAAUACGUAUGGAGCAAGCGUUAUCCGGAUUUACUGGGUGUAAAGGGAGCGUAGGCGGCCUGCCAAGUCUGAUGUGAAAUACCGGGGCUCAACCCCGGGGCUGCAUUGGAAACUGGCAGGCUGGAGUGUCGGAGAGGCAGGCGGAAUUCCUAGUGUAGCGGUGAAAUGCGUAGAUAUUAGGAGGAACACCAGUGGCGAAGGCGGCCUGCUGGACGAUGACUGACGCUGAGGCUCGAAAGCGUGGGGAGCAAACAGGAUUAGAUACCCCGGUAA